UCGAGAAUAUUUGGCAAUGGGCGAAAGCCUGACCAUGCGACGCCGCGUGGUUGAUGAAGUCCUUCGGGACGUAAAAACCUUUUGCGCGUGAGGAAGUAAUUGACGUUAGCGCGCGAAUAAGGGGCUCCUAACUCUGUGCCAGCAGGAGCGGUAAUACAGAGGCCCCAAGCAUUAUCCGGAAUCACUGGGCGUAAAGGGUGUGCAGGCGGCACUGCUAGUCUUUCGUAAAAGCACUGGGGCUUAACCCCGGUACUGCGGAGGAAACGGCAGAGCUCGAGGACGCGAGAGGUAGAGGGAACUCAUGGUGUAGGGGUGAAAUCCGUUGAUAUCAUGGGGAACACCAAAUGCGAAGGCACUCUACUGGCGCGCUCCUGACGCUCAUACACGAAAGCGUGGGAAUCGAACGGGAUUAGAUACCCCCGUAGUCC
This 428-nucleotide ribosomal RNA is filed under the name uncultured bacterium. RNAcentral's name for it is "bacterial SSU rRNA". It matches the Rfam family "Bacterial small subunit ribosomal RNA", at positions 355 to 796 of the family's 1533-position model. The record is from RNAcentral.